RNAcentral lists this unclassified non-coding RNA (201 nucleotides) under Hevea brasiliensis (rubber tree). The record is from RNAcentral. Lineage: Eukaryota; Viridiplantae; Streptophyta; Magnoliopsida; Malpighiales; Euphorbiaceae.
GAGGUGUUAAGGUACUGGAGCAAAUAAGCAACCGCGGUACAUGAUUUUCUAGAAUGUAGAGACCACUUGACUCUCGUCCUCUAUCAAUAAUUUGCUUCGUCAUAAGAUCCUGAAACAAACACUGGUUAGGAAAAAAGGAAACAGAACAAUUGAUUUUGCAAAACAUGUAGAAAUCACAUGCUCUGAUACCAUGUAGAAAGA